RNAcentral lists this ribosomal RNA (253 nucleotides) under uncultured bacterium. Its description in RNAcentral is "partial 16S ribosomal RNA". It matches the Rfam family "Bacterial small subunit ribosomal RNA", at positions 524 to 776 of the family's 1533-position model. The record is from RNAcentral.
UACGUAGGGUGCAAGCGUUGUCCGGAAUUAUUGGGCGUAAAGAGCUCGUAGGCGGUUUGUCGCGUCUGCUGUGAAAACUCGGGGCUUAACCCCGGGCCUGCAGUGGGUACGGGCAGACUAGAGUGCGGUAGGGGAGACUGGAAUUCCUGGUGUAGCGGUGAAAUGCGUAGAUAUCUGGAGGAAUACCGGUGGCGAAGGCGGCAUCCUGGACCGACAUUGACGCUGAAAACCGAAAGCUAGGGGAGCAAACGGG